RNAcentral lists this ribosomal RNA (253 nucleotides) under uncultured bacterium. Its description in RNAcentral is "partial 16S ribosomal RNA". It matches the Rfam family "Bacterial small subunit ribosomal RNA", at positions 524 to 776 of the family's 1533-position model. The record is from RNAcentral.
UACGUAGGGGGCGAGCGUUAAUCGGAAUUACUGGGCGUAAAGCGUGCGCAGGCGGUUUUGUAAGACCGAUGUGAAACCCCCGGGCUCAACCUGGGAACUGCAUUGGUGACUGCAAGGCUAGAGUGUGUCAGAGGGAGGUGGAAUUCCACGUGUAGCAGUGAAAUGCGUAGAGAUGUGGAGGAACACCGAUGGCGAAGGCAGCCUCCUGGGAUAACACUGACGCUCAUGAACGAAAGCGUGGGGAGCAAACAGG